This 472-nucleotide ribosomal RNA is filed under the name uncultured bacterium. RNAcentral describes it as "bacterial SSU rRNA". It matches the Rfam family "Bacterial small subunit ribosomal RNA", at positions 355 to 825 of the family's 1533-position model. The record is from RNAcentral.
UGGGGAAUUGUUCACAAUGGGCGCAAGCCUGAUCCAGCCAUGCCGCGUGAGUGAAGAAGGCCUUCGGGUUGUAAAGCUCUUUCGGUGAAGACGAAACGGUUAGCGCUAAUAACGCUGACUAAUGACGGUACUCACAGAAGAAGCACCGGCUAACUACGUGCCAGCAGCCGCGGUAAUACGUAGGGUGCAGGCGUUAAUCGGAAUUACUGGGCGUAAAGCGUGCGCAGGCGGUUGUGUAAGUCAGAUGUGAAAUCCCCGGGCUCAACCUGGGAAUUGCAUUUGAGACUGCACGGCUAGAGUGUGUCAGAGGGGGGUAGAAUUCCACGUGUAGCAGUGAAAUGCGUAGAUAUGUGGAGGAAUACCGAUGGCGAAGGCAGCCCCCUGGGAUAACACUGACGCUCAUGCACGAAAGCGUGGGGAGCAAACAGGAUUAGAUACCCACGUAGUCCCUGAGCGGGCUGGCAAGGCGCAU